RNAcentral lists this long non-coding RNA (318 nucleotides) under Panax ginseng (ginseng). RNAcentral describes it as "long non-coding RNA (PGIN_LNC002421)". Lineage: Eukaryota; Viridiplantae; Streptophyta; Magnoliopsida; Apiales; Araliaceae. The record is from RNAcentral.
ACAGUUUGUCCUGAACAUGGGAUCAAACUUUUCCCCAUAGUUUAUCCUAAACAUGGGAUCAAACUCUUUUGGUUGCAAAUCGUCCUGAACAUGGGGUGAACUACGUCGACCUGAUCUCCCCGAUACCUGCGAGUACGUAAGCAACCAUUUUAUAUGGCCCGGUCGCAAUAAAAUAAAAACAACAAAAACAUUUCUAUACCCUUCUCUAUAAACAAAAACAACAAAAACAUUUCUACACCCUACACCAUUCAGCGUUGAACCUCUUACACCAGGUUCGAACUACACAGACCUGAUCUCCUCUUCAAUAGGAGUACGUAG